Molecule: non-coding RNA, 74 nt
Organism: Trichonephila clavipes
Lineage: Eukaryota; Metazoa; Arthropoda; Arachnida; Araneae; Nephilidae
Source: the annotation of a GenBank genome assembly
CCGUUCAUUGUGCCUCUGUAGCGCAUUGGACUUCUAAUCCAAAGGUCGUGGAUUCGAAUCCCACCUGGAAUGGU